UACGUAGGGACCGAGCGUUGUCCGGAAUCAUUGGGCGUAAAGAGCGUGUAGGCGGCUAUUUAAGUCCUGCGUGAAAUCCUGCGGCUCAACCGCAGACGGUCGUGGGAAACUGGAUGGCUAGAGUGCGGGAGAGGAGAGUGGAAUUCCCGGUGUAGCGGUGAAAUGCGCAGAUAUCAGGAGGAACACCAAUGGCGAAGGCAGCUCGCUGGGACGUGACUGACGCUGAGACGCGAAAGCGUGGGGAGCAAACAGG
RNAcentral lists this ribosomal RNA (253 nucleotides) under uncultured bacterium. Its description in RNAcentral is "partial 16S ribosomal RNA". It matches the Rfam family "Bacterial small subunit ribosomal RNA", at positions 524 to 776 of the family's 1533-position model. The record is from RNAcentral.